RNAcentral lists this ribosomal RNA (368 nucleotides) under uncultured eukaryote. RNAcentral describes it as "SSU rRNA". It matches the Rfam family "Eukaryotic small subunit ribosomal RNA", at positions 587 to 967 of the family's 1831-position model. The record is from RNAcentral.
AGCUCCAAGAGCGUAUGUAAAAGUUGUUGCAGUUAAAAAGCUCGUAGUUGAACCUUGGGUUUGGUUGGCCGGUCCGCUUUCUUGCGAGUACUGGAUUCAACCGAACCUUUCCUUCUGGGAACUAAUCGUUUUGCGGUUAGUGUACCAGGACAUUUACUUUGAGAAAAUUAGAGUGUUCAAAGCAGGCAUUAGCUUGAAUAUAUUAGCAUGGAAUAAUAGAAUAGGACGUUAUGGUUCUAUUUUGUUGGUUUCUAGGACCAUCGUAAUGAUUAAUAGGGACGGUCGGGGGCAUCAGUAUUCAGUUGUCAGAGGUGAAAUUCUUGGAUUUACUGAAGACUAACUACUGCGAAAGCAUUUGCCAAGGACGU